This 253-nucleotide ribosomal RNA is filed under the name uncultured bacterium. Its description in RNAcentral is "partial 16S ribosomal RNA". It matches the Rfam family "Bacterial small subunit ribosomal RNA", at positions 524 to 776 of the family's 1533-position model. The record is from RNAcentral.
UACGGAGGGUGCGAGCGUUAUACGGAAUCACUGGGUUUAAAGGGUGCGUAGGCGGCUCGGUAAGUCAGGUGUGAAAGCCCACUGCUUAACGAGGCAGGUGCGUUUGAUACUGUCGGGCUUGAAACGGGAUGAGGCAGGCGGAAUGUGGCAUGUAGCGGUGAAAUGCAUAGAUAUGCCAUAGAACACCGAGUGCGAAGGCAGCCUACUGGGCCUGUUUUGACGCUGAGGCACGAAAGCGUGGGGAGCAACCAGG